Molecule: non-coding RNA, 3183 nt
Organism: Macaca mulatta (Rhesus monkey)
Lineage: Eukaryota; Metazoa; Chordata; Mammalia; Primates; Cercopithecidae
Source: RefSeq, a predicted model, not a curated record
UCUUUAAGUCAGCACAUAUUCAUUGCCCACUAUAAUCCUGUAACAAUCCAAUAGGGUACUUGUUGAUACUUCCUUUUAAAGAUGAGAAAACUGACACUCAAGAGGACUAAGUAAUUUGUGCAAAAUCACACAGCUAAUCAAUAGCAGAGCCAUGAUUUGGCUUCAUGCCUGUCCAACAAAGCCUGCCUUUUUUCCACAAUGCUACACUGCAGGCUUCUGAGUCUCUAUAGAGGUAGGCAUAAUGAAAGUUGUUUGGCAAGGGUGAGGACAUCAUAGCAGAGAGAGUCUGGAGGGCAAACAGUUUGCAAUAGGGCAAACAGUGCAGUAGUAACUGUGGUGUGAGGAGAAAAAUGAGAAAAGAGUUUGUAGUGAAAGUCAAGAUGAAUGGAAAGGAAAAGGUGAACUCCGAAUACAUAAUGAGGGAAUAAGAAUGUUCAGGACUUUGUGUUUGAGUAUAGCUAGAGAGAAAGAGAGGAGCAAGAGAUGUUUCCAGAGAUCCACGCCUGGGACUUGAAUGUGUGUGAGAUGUGACUGUGAUAAUCAAGACUUUGUGUUUUCUUAAACAUACUAGAAUAUGUGCAUCUAAAGAACAGGGUCCUUCAAAGCUGUUACCUUGGGAGACUUUGGCCUUGUUCUGACAAUGUUGCCACUACUAAAAUUUAUAAUUAUGAGGACUCUUCCUUCAGGACUGCCUUCAUCCAUAUGGGAAGAGGUCUCCUGACUGUAGCCAAACAUGCCAUUUCUCAGCCUAACCACUCAUCUGAUAUUCCAAACUUGGCUCCAAGUCACUUACUUGUUAAAAACAAAAACAAAAAAAAAAGUAAUUGUUAAAGGACAAAGCUUUGCCACUUUCGAGGGUUUGCUCAGGCUCACUUGCUCCCAGGGGGACAGUGUGGACAACACAGACCCCAGGCAGUCCUGGGUUUGAACUCUGACACAGCCAGUUCCUUGGCCAAGUUAUUUAACCCCACUGUGCUGCAGAUCUUUCAGCUACAAAAUGGUUAUUACAAUUCCUUCCCCAGAGUGUUGUAGGGUUAAUUAGGAUGCUUUCAGUAGCAAAUAACAGAAAAGUCAACUCAAAUAGACUUAAACAAUGUAGGAAUUUAUUUGCUCACAUAGGGGGAAGUCCAGAGGUAAAGUGAACUCCAGGCAGAAUAUAACUGGGGCUCAAGCUUUAGUUCUCUGCAGUUCUCUUGGCUGUGUCCUCUUCUGAUUUCCAGCGUUUUUGUCAGGCUGGUUCCCUUUGUAUUUACAAGAAAGUCAUUAACAGCAGCUAGGGCAACAUGCUUUCUUCCUCAUGUCUAGCGCAGGAGAGAGAAAAACCUCUUCCCCAGCAGUUGAAUAUAGACACUUCCCUCCCAUACAUUUGGAUCAUCUUAAGACACGUGCCCAUCUAUGGGUCAAUAGCCAGCAUCACACUGCCAUGCAUAGAUCAGCUUAACCUGGGGUAGACUGGGUGUCAGGAAGAAUUAAAUAGUAUAACUCAUGGACAUUAACUGGCCUGUAACUAGCACUCAGUACAAGUUUAUUAUUUUUUUCUAAUAAUGAAAGGAGAAUUAAUUAGGUCAAUUACACAUACACUUCUUAUUAAAUAUGGAAUGUCUUUUUUCUUUAAUGUUUACCUUCACUCUCUCUUUUGGUCUAGGGCCACAGUCUCACUUCCCAUCAAAAUGGAUUAUAGGGCAGUGCACAAGCUGGGACAAUAGCCCUGACCUUACUUGUUUAGUGCAUGAAAAACAGCUCCAGUUUUGAAUUCAGAGGCAGAAGUCAGGACACAUAAACAGGAAGGGAAUGCUGAGUAGGGGCUGGGAAAUGGGAUGAUUGGGAAUUGGGAGGAAACUCCAAAAUAUUAUUGAUUUUACUUUUGCUCUGCUCCUCUCAGCUCUGUUCCUAGUGCUGUCUCUGCCUUCGCAGGACUCACUGGGGCAGGGGGUGGGCCUUGCCAGCAAUUAGAGGGAAGUUUUAAACACCUCAUCCAUCCAAGCAUACUUAGGACCCCAUUUCGUCAUUAUGUAUUUGGCAACUAGCUGGGACAGACCAGAACUGAGGCUUUCACACCUAUUUAGCACCUGGUUAAGCGUCACUUGGCAUCUGCCAAAUGGGUCUCUACCAUUUAGGGAGAAUUUGCACUGAUUACCACACUAAUUAAGCAGAAGUCAUUGCUACUCACAAUCAUUAGACUAAAUCGGUUUCUGGGGAAAAGUCUUGAUAAGCAGCUGCCCAAAUGAAAUGGAUUUGAAGGCAUCCCAUGCACACAGGCUCACGCACCAGAAAUUGCUCUCGUGCUGUCAGCCAUCACUACCUGAUUAUUCCAAUGAACAGAUUCUUGAUGUGACUAAACCCAGAGAUAGCUGACAGUCUCAAAGCCAGGUGACAUGGGCUGGGGAAUCUUACAAGGUGAGCUGCUCACACUUAAUUGAGGUAAAUUAUACUAAGUACCAAGCUUGAGGAGCAUGCCUUGCAGUGAGUAGAUAUUUUGCACAUCCUUUGGCUUUAUUCCCUUCCCUUUUAUUUCUGUUCCAGGGAUGCUCUUGGAGUAAGCAAUUCUCUGCCCCAAUGACUUUUUAUAAUUGCCCUUUAGAUUCCUUAGAGCAUUUUAUAGACUCAGUUGUGGGUGGAAAGAAGCAGACUCUCAAAACUUUGAUUCUUAGAAUUGCUGUGAACUUGGCAUUUGCUCAACAAUUUUGGGGAGUGUGUGUGUGUGUCUUGUAUACAUGUAUGUGUGAUGGGGAGGAUACAUAGCUUUGAUAUCCAAGACAUUAGGGAUGCCUGUAGCCAUCUGAGGACUUCUGUAGGCAACAGAUUCUCAGAAGAGAACAAAAACUCAAAUAACAACAUCAGAUACAGUAGUCCCCCUUUUCUGAGGUUUUGCUUUCCAUAGUUCCAGUUACCCAUGGUACAGUAAAUAAGAUGUUUUGAGAAAGAGAGACCACAUUCACAUAACUUUUACUACAAUAUAUUGUUAGAAUUGUUCUAUUUUAUUAUUGUUGUUGUUCAUUCUUUACUGUGCCUAAUUUGCAAAUUAAACUUCAUCAUAGGUAUGUAGGUGUAGGAAAAAGUUAGUAUAUAUGGGGUUUGGUGCUAUUUGCGGUUUCAGGAAUCCACUGGGGGCCUUGGAAGAUAUCCUUUGGAUACGGGGAGAGACUACUGUACUAUUCCUGGAAGACACCGACCAGCCCCAAG